CGUACGACACCCUUGCUUUUUAUCUCCUCAAGAACCUCUAGUCACUUCACUUCCAAACCUUCAAGACUUGCAUCUCCUGCUACAUUAUUCAAACCCUAACCCCAAUACGCAUACAUACAAUACAAUUCAUUUGAGUUAAGAUAAAGCAAGUUUACUGACAAUGUAAGUUGGUUUCUAAUUUAAUUGAGGUAUGAAGUAAUUCAAGAUGGGAUACAAGUGGUUUGAGCCGAUGGCGAGGAGGAUUCCGAAAAGGGUGUGGCUUGGGUACCAAAUGUCAAUGGGUUUACUCGUGGGUGGGAAUCACACAUCCUCCAGGUUUUGCACACGCUAAAUAGUUCGUUUUCUUCGUUGUUUGGCUUUUUUCUGAUUUGAUAUAAUCUACUUGUGUUUUGCUUUGAGUGAAUCACGGUGCAAUUAUAGAUCUGGCACUUUGAAUUGCUUAAAAGAUCUGGAUUUGGGAUUUAAAAAGAGAACUUAAGUGUAAAAAAUGGAUUUGAACUUGUUGAAAUGGCGAAUUAUUCGUGGGUCAUUCGUCAUGCAUGUGGUACUGAGAGCUUUUAUGUUUGUACUGGCUACGACUAUUCUGUCGUUUAUGCAAAUGACCCAUGAGGCGGGCAUAAUUGGGCGAAUGGUAUCGAAUAUUGAUGUGUGCCCAUUGAGUUUUGGCUCGAACCAGGAUUUAAAUUUCACCGGGCAUCUGAAGCCCACAUCGGCACCUGGUUUUAUGUCUUCCCUAUUUGGGACAACUCCUAUGCCGUGCAUAGAAAGUCAAAACUUCACAAAGAAUGUGUUCAAAGAGCUAAUGGAGAAGAAUCUUUUAGAUUCUAAUGCUAAAGCAUUAUGUGUUGGGGAGAGAUCUGCCUCCACAGUAUUGACGUUGCGGGAGUUAGGAUUGUCCAAUGCCUUUGGUGUAGAUAGACACCCAUUCUUCUCCCUUGUGCAGAGAAGAUUCGUUUAUGAGCUCAACUUUGAGAAUAAUCAUUUUGAUUUUGUGUUCUCGAGAGAUCUUGACAGGGUUUCUGUACCAUCUCUUCUUGUUCUUGAGAUUGAGCGUGUUUUACGUCCUGGUGGAAUUGGUGCUAUUCUUGUGGGAGGACGUAAUUUCCACUCCGGUAGCUUGGUAAGGUUGGCCACACCGGUCGUAUCAUUCUUGAAGAGUUCUGAUGUUAUUUAUGUAUGCGGUGUUGGAUCCUCUACGCUGGUGGUGUUUAAGAAGAGAUAUGAAAAUUUUUCUGCCUUUGAGCAUUUCCAGCUUCCAGAUAAGUGCCCGUCAGUUACGAAAAAUAUAGCGUUUAUGAAGUUUAUGGAGCCUCUUGUGGAUGGAAAGUCAGGGCAAUUUGAGCUGGAGCCUGCAUAUCUGGCUAACUUCAGGAACAUUUCCUCAAGGAACAAAUUAGUGUACAUUAACAUUGGUGCAGGGGAGUUUGCAAAAGAAAGUGUCGCAAAAAUGUCCAAGAAUUAUUGUUCUAAUCACCAUGCAUGCUUCGAUGUUUUUGUUAUUGAUCAUAGAACAUCUGUCCUCUCUUCAUAUGUGACAGGUCCCGGUAUCCAUUUUAUUUAUCAUCCCAGCCUUUCCGGAGAGAAUGCUGCUCGUGAAAUCAACUCUGAUGAAUAUUUUAGUGCACCACCAGAUGAAGGCGAGUUUGACUUUAUUCACUGGUUCAAUGAAACAGUUGCUGAUGGAGAUUUCGUGGUACUCGUGAUGAACACCAAGCCGGUAGAGCUCAAUAUUCUUGUUGAAUUAUUUAAAACCGGAGCAAUAUGCCAUGUUGAUGAACUCUUCCUUAGGUGUUCAAACGAAGAAGAUUGUAAAACAACUACAUGUGGAGACUGUACGCGUCUUUUCAAAAGCCUAAGGAAGAGUGGCGUGUAUGUGCACCAAUUGUUGGGUGAUUAAGCUUCGACCAAAAUGUGGUGAAUUUCAUAUCUUGUUUUAGCCUUUGCUUUAAUUUCGUAUGGAGUUGUUGGGAAAUUAAUCCGUGUGUGAAUUUCCUAACUCGUUUCAGUCUGUCGUUUGAUUACGUGUGAUGAAUAAAACAAGGAGCCAUGGUGGAUUGAGGUUAUAAUCUACCACUCUCCUCUGUUGAACUGAGUUUGAUCCCCUUUAUCAGUUGAAUGGAAUGAUUUCCUCUUUGUUGUUCUGAUUCUACAUGUUAAUGCGUUAUAUUUGGAAAACUGAGAGGAGUUGUUAAUAGGAAUUUGGAAAACCUUUUAUGAUGUCUGGUUGGAGUAAAUCCAAAACAGUGAAACACAGCUAGAAUUUGCUUAUAACUGCACCAAAAAUUGAACCUUUUUUUUUUUUUUUUUUUUUGAAAAAACGGUCAAACUUUAUUCAUUCACCCCUCGCUUAUGGCUGAGGAAUACCAUUGAGACAAAUUCAACAGAACAAAUAUAAGAACCAAGCAGCCAUAUAGCUCUAAUCGAACCCAUAUUGUUAACACAUCAGACCAAGUUUAUCCAUACGAAUAACACCUCUUUAACAAAUGUGGUAUUUGAUAUAAAUGCAUGUACCUCAUCGUGAGACCAUUCGCCCCUUGUCUGGCUAGAAAGUCUGCGGUUCUAUUAGCUUCUCUAUACUGGUCGGAAAUAGUAAAGCUAAUUCCGCCCAGUAAUUUUAAUGACCCAUCCCGAUAAUCCCACAGAUACCAAACUCCGCAUGAGUGGGUUGUUAACCAGUUUACUACAACAGUCGAAUCACACUCAAUUUCCACAUGCUGGAAACCCAUCUCUUUGCAUGGCUCUACCCUAGUCAUGACAGCACGCAAUUCCAUUUCAUUAUUUCUACCAUAGCCAUAUGGAGCAUAGAAGCCAGCAACCAAAUUACCAUAAUGAUCCCUGAUUACUCCCCCACCUCCACAAAGUCCUGUAUUACCAAGACAAUUUCCAUCAACAUUGAGUUUUAUCCAACCAGUAGCAAGUCUCCUCCAAGAAACUAUGAGGGUUGGUUUACUCGUCUUCGAACACAUAGGCAAUUCUAAGGAUUUGAGAAGUUCAUGAUCUAUUUUACUUAGUUUUGAGACUUUACCUAUUUUUUCAGCUAGGAGACGCAGCGAAACCUUUAUUGUAAGCCAAACCUCCUCCGCAGAUUCUCGAAUCCUUUCCAUACGUGCCUUGCAUCGACGUCCCCAUAGUUUCCAUAAUAGCCCAAUUAAAAUUCCAUGCCGUGAGACAUAUUUUGCACAUGUAAACCAUCUAUUGACUCUUGUCCACUAGGAUUGUGUCUCCAUGUAGUGCACACCCAAGGCCAACGAUGCCCACUUCCAAACUGCCUUAGCAAUAUCCCUAGAGUUGAGUACAUGAUCAAGAGUUUCCACUUGACCCUUCUCACAACAAUCACAACGUGAAGCUAGAGCAACUCUUGUUGAUCUCACCCUAAUAACCACACUUAAACAGUUGAACUUCGCCUUCCACAUGAAAACAAAAAAAAAUUUUGGUAGAAUUUUAUGCCAUAUCCAUUUCAUCCAAGGAAUCUGUGGACGCCUCACCCUUACAAUGUCCCAGGCACUUGAAGUAGAGAAAUCUCCAUCAUCGUUCGGCUUCCAUAUGAUCAUAUCACUUCUUUUCUGGCCCUAAUGGUUUGUGUAAUUUCUACUGCCUUUACCUCCCUAGCUACCUCUUUAAGAUAAGUGAAAUCGUAGCCAUCUUCAAUCCAGCAAUCUCUAACCUGCAGUCUUGGAUUGGUAACCCUGAAAACAUGCUCGCUUAAUGGGCCACUCGCUAACCAGCGAUCAUACCAAAAGGAAACUGACCUUCUUUAAUCCUCCAUUUUGAGUUCUCAUAUACCUGAGGUAGAACCUUUACGAUUGAUUUCCAUAGGCUAGAUCCACUGAUAUUAGAGUUUAGUAAAAGGUGACUGCUCUUUACAUAUUUGGAACGGAAGAAGCUAGACCACAAGCUAUUAGUAGUCAUUAGCCACCAUGCAAGUUUCAUAUGGAGAGAUCGUUGAAUUGCAGCAAAAUCACGUACCCCAAGUCCACCCUCUAUAGUUGGCAUCCAUACUUUAGACCAAGCACGCCAUUUCUUUAUGUGUUUUCCAUUACCCUCACCUAGAGGAAUGUAGAUAAUGAGUUCGUGUUAUUGAGAGUUAUCUUUGGCACAUUAACCAUAGCCAACAAAUGUGUUGCCAUACGGGUCACAACAUGUCGGAUUAAAAUAAGGCGACCUCAUUGAGACAGUAACCUCAUUUUCCAACCUGCUAAUUUGUUGCAAAUUUUCGCUACUGAAGUCUUCAAAUGCCUAGCCGUGAGACAGCCAGAAGUAAUAGGCACUCCUAAGUCAACCACUGGGAACUGUCCCUCAGUAAAAUCAGUUAACCGUAGCAAGCUCCUCUUCCUUCUAUAGAUGAUCCUUCUAGAGAAGAAAAUAGUUGAUUUAUCAAUUGUCCCGAUCACUUUUCAUAUGUUUUCAGGGUCUUCAUGAGCAUUUUUAUAGAUCGUCUACCUCCAUUCGCAAAUACUACUACAUCAUUGGCAUAUAAUAGAUGUGAGACCAAAGGGGCCCCAAUAGGAUGAUAGAACCUCACAAUACUGCCUUCUUCAAACCUCUUGCGUAAGAGACGUGAUAAAAUCUCUUCCAUAAUGUUGAACAAAUUAGGAGACAAAGGAUCGCCUUGAUGGAGCCCUCUGCUAGGUUGGAAGAAACCUUUAUGAGUCCCAUUCAUCAUUAUUGAAAACUAAGGAGUUGUAACACACUCUGCCACCAAGUCGUAAAACCUUUUAGAGAAGCCAAAUUCUUCAAGCACGUGUAGGAAAAACCUCCGGUCUACUCUAUCAUAAGCCUUUGCCAUGUCGAUUUUUAACAUAGCAUUACCACCUCUGGUUUUCCUGUUCAAAGAGUGGAUCAUUUCCUGGGUAAGGGUGAUGUUCUCAAAAUGUUUCUAUUUGGAAUAAAUGAUCCCUGUUCAGGUUUGGGAGCAACCAUGUCAUACGCUUGACAAGGAUCUUUGAAAAAGCUUUGUAAAUGACUGAGCAAAGGCUAAUAGGCCUAAACUUUUCAAAACUCCUAGGUUGGUUUACUUUCGGAAUUAAGACAAUGAAUAAAGAGGUGUAAAAUCUGGGUAGUGAGCUACCCAUGAAAAAUUCUCUCACUGCCUCCACUAUGUCGUCCUUCACCAAUUCCCAACACAAGAUGUAAAACCCAGACCCAAAACCUUCAGGCCCGGGGCUGCUCUCUGCUGGAAUAGAAAAAAUUGCAUCCUUUACCUCUUCUUCGGUUGGUUCCACGCAUAGAAGGUCAUUGUCCUCUACUGAUACAACUGCAGAAAUUAGGGGAGUCAAAUCUUGUUGCUCACUUGUUCGAUUAUCAUGCAAAAUUUCUUCAAAGUAUUUAACGGCACCAUUGUGAACCUCUUCUGGCGAAGCUAGAACUGUCCCAUCAGGCAAUUGCAUAGAAGAGAUGUGUGAAGACUUCCUCCGUUGAUUAACCACAGCAUGAAAAAAAUUCGAGUUUUGGUCUCCUUCUUCAAGCCAUUUUUUCUUUGCUUUUUGUGCUAAUCUGGUUUCUUCCCUUUUCUCCCAAAGCUAUAGCUCAACCUUUGUCGCAAGAAAUUCCGUCUCUAAAUUUGGGUCAAAACUGCUUUGCCACUGAUUUUCCAGCACCAAAAAUUGAACUAGUAGAAAGAGCCCGUUUGAGAUGGUCUAUGGGAAAAAAUCAGUCCAUUUUUAUUUAUGAUAAAAUUCAAUACCAAAAUGUGAUAAGACUAGUGUAAAAGAAGAAUAUGGCGGCAAAAAUGAUGCUGCUUGACCACAUUACAUAAAAGACUGAACAAUCAAACUCCAGGACAAAGAACAUGUAGAUAAACGAUGGAUAACUCAAAGCUUCAAAGAGGGUAACAUGGUGAUUGACUUAUCAAAGUAAAGAACAGUUUCCAACAUAUUCUAAGCUCUGAAAAGAAAAUUGAAGAUGAUGCUUACGAAAUUGAUUUGUUGCAAAACUUGGGCAUACAUCCUAAUUGAAUGUUUCUUACUGUCAUGUACCUUAGUUAAAGACUCGAAGAGUCUUUGUUGAGUUUUUAAUUAUAUUUUGAAAUUGUAGGUAGAGUCAAGAAAGUAUGUUUUGUUUACAAUAGAUUUUACUAUACGUUUAGUUCAUGUUUAAUAAGAUUAAGCAUCGUGUUAUUAAAAAAAAAAAAAAUAUAUAUAUAUAUAUAUAUAUAUAUAUAUAAAAUAAUAAUAAUAAUAAGUGUCAUUUUCAGUAGUCUAGAUGUCAUUUUUCGGUAUAAAAGAGUUUGUGUAUGGAGAAGCAAACUAGAAAUUUGUUUUUAAGUAAAAUCAAGUUUUGUUACAGCUAUUGCUUCUACUUUCAGAGUUUCAUUGUAGAAUCUUGUUUACAACAUAAUUCUCUUUUUAAGGAAAAUUCUAGUCCAUGGUUCCCUAACAUUACCAGUUGUCUCACUUGGGUCCCCAUUCAUUUUUCUGUCACAUUUAGGUCUUCAAACUAUUUCUUUUGGUGCAUGUGGGGACAGAUGAAUGGAAAUAGUUCAAAUUUCUAUUAUAUAAUCACUCGAAAGGCAUUUAUGUUAGAAUUUGGAAUGAAUUGGUAGCAAUAGAACUCAUUGCAUGUGUUAAUCUACAAUAUUUCAAAGCAUCAUGCCAUUGAAAUUUAGGAGCGUUAUAAUUACGUUGUUAGGUUGGUGAUAUGCGAGGACAAAUUCAAGACUAUCCCAUCAAAGUUUGGACUUGGUAUGGUAUCAAACUCUCUAAUAAGUUUUGAGGAAAAAUUGGAUGAAAAAUGAUGCGGAUAGAUAUUUGUCAGACGCUUGUGAAGAUAUAGAAAAGAAUGAUUUGAUGUUCUCAAUUGAAUGGGGGUUAAUGGACAUAAGUAUGGUACUUUGUCCAAACUUGCAUGGAAUGUUAUGGCAAUUCAAGCAUCAACGUGGGUUCAAAAAAUGUUUUUAGUGUUGGAAGAAAAAUUCUCGAUCCCUUUCAUAGUUUUUAAUGUAGUGGUGUGAAUUCAAAAUUGGCAUAAAUGGUCUCCCAACUUGGAGAUAUUCUAUAUGGAGGAAUAUAACAAAUUGGACAACGGCGAUAUAACAAACAAGCUAUUCCAUGAAUUAUGUUAAAGUUUAUUUGUUUUUAUCAAUUUUGUAGAGUUUUCGGAUCAAUGAAACCAAAUGAAGGCUAAAUCAAAGUGAUUGUGCGUUUUCGAUUUUCUUUUAGGUUGAUGUAUAAUGUAUUGCAAUUUGCACAACUCUUUAUCACUAAUAUUCAUAUUCUUCUCUAAAUAUUUCUAUUAUGUUGUUGUCGGAAUGCUGCUUAAAACUUAUGGGACAUUCAAAUAAUGUAAUAUGCUGCCUUAAUAUUUGUUUUUUAAGAGUUCGAAUUUUGGAUGAUGUAGUAUUUUUAUUUUUUCAUUUAUUGAGGUUGGAUUAUUGUAAUAUUUUUAGUUGUUGG
RNAcentral lists this long non-coding RNA (7391 nucleotides) under Olea europaea subsp. europaea. Lineage: Eukaryota; Viridiplantae; Streptophyta; Magnoliopsida; Lamiales; Oleaceae. The record is from RNAcentral.